UGAACGCUGGCGGCAUGCCUUACACAUGCAAGUCGAACGGCAGCACGGGUGCUUGCACCUGGUGGCGAGUGGCGAACGGGUGAGUAAUACAUCGGAACAUGUCCUGUAGUGGGGAUAGCCCGGCGAAAGCCGGAUUAAUACCGCAUACGAUCUACGGAUGAAAGCGGGGGACCUUCGGGCCUCGCGCUAUAGGGUUGGCCGAUGGCUGAUUAGCUAGUUGGUGGGGUAAAGGCCUACCAAGGCGACGAUCAGUAGCUGGUCUGAGAGGACGACCAGCCACACUGGGACUGAGACACGGCCCAGACUCCUACGGGAGGCAGCAGUGGGGAAUUUUGGACAAUGGGCGAAGGCCUGAUCCAGCAAUGCCGCGUGUGUGAAGAAGGCCUUCGGGUUGUAAAGCACUUUUGUCCGGAAAGAAAUCCUUGGCUCUAAUACAGUCGGGGGAUGACGGUACCGGAAGAAUAAGCACCGGCUAACUACGUGCCAGCAGCCGCGGUAAUACGUAGGGUGCGAGCGUUAAUCGGAAUUACUGGGCGUAAAGCGUGCGCAGGCGGUUUGCUAAGACCGAUGUGAAAUCCCCGGGCUCAACCUGGGAACUGCAUUGGUGACUGGCAGGCUAGAGUAUGGCAGAGGGGGGUAGAAUUCCACGUGUAGCAGUGAAAUGCGUAGAGAUGUGGAGGAAUACCGAUGGCGAAGGCAGCCCCCUGGGCCAAUACUGACGCUCAUGCACGAAAGCGUGGGGAGCAAACAGGAUUAGGUACCCUGGUAGUCCACGCCCUAAACGAUGUCAACUAGUUGUUGGGGAUUCAUUUCCUUAGUAACGUAGCUAACGCGUGAAGUUGACCGCCUGGGGAGUACGGUCGCAAGAUUAAAACUCAAAGGAAUUGACGGGGACCCGCACAAGCGGUGGAUGAUGUGGAUUAAUUCGAUGCAACGCGAAAAACCUUACCUACCCUUGACAUGGUCGGAAUCCCGCUGAGAGGUGGGAGUGCUCGAAAGAGAACCGGCGCACAGGUGCUGCAUGGCUGUCGUCAGCUCGUGUCGUGAGAUGUUGGGUUAAGUCCCGCAACGAGCGCAACCCUUGUCCUUAGUUGCUACGCAAGAGCACUCUAAGGAGACUGCCGGUGACAAACCGGAGGAAGGUGGGGAUGACGUCAAGUCCUCAUGGCCCUUAUGGGUAGGGCUUCACACGUCAUACAAUGGUCGGAACAGAGGGUUGCCAACCCGCGAGGGGGAGCUAAUCCCAGAAAACCGAUCGUAGUCCGGAUUGCACUCUGCAACUCGAGUGCAUGAAGCUGGAAUCGCUAGUAAUCGCGGAUCAGCAUGCCGCGGUGAAUACGUUCCCGGGUCUUGUACACACC
Molecule: ribosomal RNA, 1361 nt
Filed under: uncultured beta proteobacterium
Lineage: Bacteria; Pseudomonadati; Pseudomonadota; Betaproteobacteria
Description: 16S ribosomal RNA
Rfam family: Bacterial small subunit ribosomal RNA
Source: RNAcentral